RNAcentral lists this ribosomal RNA (444 nucleotides) under uncultured bacterium. RNAcentral's name for it is "partial 16S ribosomal RNA". It matches the Rfam family "Bacterial small subunit ribosomal RNA", at positions 338 to 795 of the family's 1533-position model. The record is from RNAcentral.
CCUACGGGUGGCUGCAGUGGGGAAUAUUGCGCAUGGGCGAAAGCCUGACGCAGCAACGCCGCGUGCGGGACGACGGCCUUCGGGUUGUAAACCGCUUUCAGCAGGGACGAAGUGAAAAUGACGGUACCUGCAGAAGAAGCACCGGCCAACUACGUGCCAGCAGCCGCGGUGAUACGUAGGGCGCGAGCGUUGUCCGGAAUUAUUGGGCGUAAAGAGCUUGUAGGCGGUCUGUCACGUCGUAAGUGAAAACUCAGGGCUCAACCCUGAGCCUGCUUGCGAUACGGGCAGACUAGAGGAAGGUAGGGGAGAACGGAAUUCUUGGUGGAGCGGUGGAAUGCGCAGAUAUCAGGAAGAACACCGGUGGCGAAGGCGGUUCUCUGGACCUUUCCUGACGCUGAGAAGCGAAAGCGUGGGGAGCAAACAGGAUUAGAUACCCCUGUAGUC